GUUCUUGUAAACGCGGCUGGGGCGCCGGCCGGCCGGAGCGCGGGCGUCCCGAGCCCCCGGCCCGGUCCCAGCCUCCGGGCGCGCUGCUGGUUUUCUUUUCAGGAGAGGGAGGAACAACAACCAACGUACAAAACACCUCAGUUCCGUGGCGCGGCCUCUUCCUCCCCAAUAGUGCUCGCACGCGCCGGGGAGUUUGUUGGGCUCCGAAAGUGCCUGCGCCCACCUGUGCAGGUGCGGGUGCCUGUGCGGGUGUAGGUGUGGGGGACAACAGCGCCACGCCUCCGCACGCAGGCUUUCCCGCUUUCUCCGCUUUGCUGGGAGUAACCUGAGCUCCGGGCCUGGACCACAAGCUCGAAAACCCUUUCCAGCAGCUGGACUGAGAGACCCUGGGGGUGUGGUAAACUGUGCGGAGAAACCCUGGCAGGCCCGAUGAGGGUCCAGGACUGUGCCCGAGUGCAAAGUAGGGGCCCAAUAAAUGGAUCUGACCCUUG
Molecule: long non-coding RNA, 491 nt
Organism: Felis catus (domestic cat)
Lineage: Eukaryota; Metazoa; Chordata; Mammalia; Carnivora; Felidae
Exons: 2
Source: RefSeq, a predicted model, not a curated record